GACUAUGCCCAAGGGUACAGAGAGCCUAUGGGAGCCAGCAAGAUCAUGACCUCAGAGCCUGACAUCACAGGCAAUGAGAUGAGGAAAAGGAGGAGCUGACUCCUGCUCUCACCAAGGAGAGCAGCACCCUGAGUAGAAGGAUGUGUGACACUGCCCUCCCUGACUCUGCCUGGGGACCCACCCUGCUGUGCUGUGUUACUGUCUUUCUCCUGGGAACAAGUUCAGCCAAUCCUGGGGUCAUCCAGUCUCCAAGACACAUAAUCAAAGCAAAGGGAGGAAGGUCCAUUCUGAAAUGUAUUCCCAUCUCUGGACAUGCCAGUGUGAGCUGGUACCAACAGACUCUGGGGCAGGAACUGAGGUUCUUCAUUCAGCAUUAUGAAAGAACAGAGCAAGCAAAAGGAAACAUGCCCAACCGAUUCUCAGUCCAGCAGUUCAGUGACUAUCGCUCUGAGAUGAACAUGAGCACCUUGCAGCUGGAGGACUCUGCUGUGUACUUCUGUGCCAGCUCACCACAGCCUUACAGAGUGACAGGCUUUCUGUCCCUUAAUCUUCCUGUCCCCGCUGGUGAUGUACUAGAGAGAGGUUAUGAAAUUCCACACAACCUUAUCCAAGGCCCAGAUGCUUCUAGGUCUUUACUAAUCCCCUCACUACCUAAGCCUACACAGAGUGGUCCUAAAAGUGGCUUGGGCCCCAAGACUCCAGAUGUUCUCAUGUGUCUGCCAAUGCCUUCUAGCUCCUACCUAGCCAGUGGGAGGAGACCCUGCUCUGUGAUGGGUGUGAGCAUAGGCAAUAUGUCUUAG
Peromyscus leucopus (white-footed mouse) is the source of this 800-nucleotide non-coding RNA. The record is from the annotation of a RefSeq genome assembly. Lineage: Eukaryota; Metazoa; Chordata; Mammalia; Rodentia; Cricetidae.